CUGAAAAAGUUUUGAUCAGUCGCCCGAGUAUCGGAAUGGAGCUGAAAAAAAAUUGCAACAAAAUUCGACCGGAUAGAAACGAUUCAUCUUUCCACUUUCGGAUUCAAAUUGUGACCAUGUUCAGCAAUUCGAGUAGCUGUGUGUAUCGCUACAAUGGAGAAAUUUUGAACGCGACUGCCGCUGCUUGGGAAGACUAUUGGUUUCAGAAGAAAAUGUCCUCGUAAAACGUUACGGUCUCAUAUGAACCGUUCGACGAAGAGCUGAAGCUACUUUCCCAUUAAACUAUUGCUGUGAUGAUUCAGUAAUUUGUGGUCUUCCGAAUCAUCCGGAACUGAACUAAGCGAUUGCCUUCUCAACGGUCCAGGUGCGGUGACGAUCAACUACCAUUCCGAUACAACAAGCAAUGGUUCCCGAGUGAAAAUUCGAGAGCUGGUAUGGUCAUUUUUCUUAUCAUCCGGAAGAACCUGAUGCGGGAGCUGAGGCUCGGACAGAUUGCCACAAUGUGUGAAGAAUGGAAAAAAAUAAAUAAAAUUAUCUUUUCAAAUGUUCAGAGUUGC
Long non-coding RNA from Uranotaenia lowii, 557 nucleotides. RefSeq lists it as uncharacterized. The transcript is spliced from 2 exons. The record is from RefSeq and is a predicted model, not a curated record. NCBI's taxonomy places the organism in Eukaryota, Metazoa, Arthropoda, Insecta, Diptera, Culicidae.